CCUACGGGAGGCUGCAGUGGGGGUUAUUGCACAAUGGGGGGAACCCUGAUGCAGCGACGCCGCGUGGGUGAAGAAGCGCCUCGGCGCGUAAAGCCCUGUCAGCAGGGAAGAAAAUGACGGUAUCUGAAGAAGAAGCCCCGGCGAACUACGUGCCAGCAGCCGCGGGAAUACGUAGGGGGCAAGCGUUAUACGGAUUUACUGGGGGUAAAGGGGGCGCAGACGGCGAUGCAAGCCAGGAGUGAAAGCCCGGGGCCCAACCCCGGGACUGCUGUUGGAACUGCGUGGCUGGAGUGCAGGAGGGGCAGGCGGAAUUCCUGGUGUAGCGGUGAAAUGCGUAGAUAUCAGGAGGAACACCGGUGGCGAAGGCGGCCUGCUGGACUGCAACUGACGUUGAGGCCCGAAAGCGUGGGGAGCAAACAGGAUUAGAUACCCGGGUAGUC
RNAcentral lists this ribosomal RNA (440 nucleotides) under uncultured bacterium. Its description in RNAcentral is "partial 16S ribosomal RNA". It matches the Rfam family "Bacterial small subunit ribosomal RNA", at positions 338 to 795 of the family's 1533-position model. The record is from RNAcentral.